GAUGAACGCUAGCUACAGGCUUAACACAUGCAAGUCGAGGGGAAACGGCAUUAAGUGCUUGCACUUUUUGGACGUCGACCGGCGCACGGGUGAGUAACGCGUAUCCAACCUUCCCAUGACUAAGGGAUAACCUGCCGAAAGGCAGACUAAUACCUUAUGGUCUUCACUGACGGCAUCAGAUGUGAAGUAAAGAUUUAUCGGUUAUGGAUGGGGAUGCGUCUGAUUAGUUAGUUGGCGGGGUAACGGCCCACCAAGGCAACGAUCAGUAGGGGUUCUGAGAGGAAGGUCACCCACAUUGGAACUGAGACACGGCCCAAACUCCUACGGGAGGCAGCAGUGAGGAAUAUUGGUCAAUGGGCGAGAGCCUGAACCAGCCAAGUAGCGUGCAGGAUGACGGCCCUAUGGGUUGUAAACUGCUUUUGUAUGGGGAUAAAGUCAAUCACGUGUGAUUGUUUGCAGGUACCAUACGAAUAAGGACCGGCUAAUUCCGUGCCAGCAGCCGCGGUAAUACGGAAGGUCCGGGCGUUAUCCGGAUUUAUUGGGUUUAAAGGGAGCGUAGGCUGGAGAUUAAGUGUGUUGUGAAAUGUAGACGCUCAACGUCUGACUUGCAGCGCAUACUGGUUUCCUUGAGUACGCACAACGUUGGCGGAAUUCGUCGUGUAGCGGUGAAAUGCUUAGAUAUGACGAAGAACUCCGNUUGCGAAGGCAGCUGACGGGAGCGCAACUGACGCUGAAGCUCGAAGGUGCGGGUAUCNAACAGG
This 761-nucleotide ribosomal RNA is filed under the name Prevotella melaninogenica. RNAcentral's name for it is "bacterial SSU rRNA". It matches the Rfam family "Bacterial small subunit ribosomal RNA", at positions 28 to 776 of the family's 1533-position model. Lineage: Bacteria; Pseudomonadati; Bacteroidota; Bacteroidia; Bacteroidales; Prevotellaceae. The record is from RNAcentral.